GGCUUGGUAGUGUAAUGGAAACACAUCUCCUAACCAUAGCUCGUGGUAAAGGUGGUUUAUGGAAAAGUUCUCCGUUCAAUUCGGGGUCGGGCCG
Molecule: non-coding RNA, 94 nt
Organism: Mycena crocata
Lineage: Eukaryota; Fungi; Basidiomycota; Agaricomycetes; Agaricales; Mycenaceae
Source: the annotation of a GenBank genome assembly